UAAUACAUGCAAGUCGAGCGAACGGACGAGAAGCUUGCUUCUCUGAUGUUAGCGGCGGACGGGUGAGUAACACGUGGAUAACCUACCUAUAAGACUGGGAUAACUUCGGGAAACCGUAGCUAAUACCGGAUAAUAUUUUGAACCGCAUGGUUCAAAAGUGAAAGACGGUCUUGCUGUCACUUAUAGAUGGAUCCGCGCUGCAUUAGCUAGUUGGUAAGGUAACGGCUUACCAAGGCAACGAUGCAUAGCCGACCUGAGAGGGUGAUCGGCCACACUGGGACUGAGACACGGCCCAGACUCCUACGGGAAGCAGCAGUAGGGAAUCUUCGGCUCAUGGGUGCAACCCUGACCGAGCUACGCCGCGUGAGUGAAGAAGGUUUUCGGAUCGUAAAGCUCUGUUGUUAGAGAAGAAUGAUGGCGGGAGUGGACAAUCCACCAAGUGACGGUAACUAACCAGAAAGGGACGGCUAACUACGUGCCAGCAGCCGCGGUAAUACGUAGGUCCCGAGCGUUGUCCGGAUUUAUUGGGCGUAAAGCGAGCGCAGGCGGUUUUUUAAGUCUGAAGUUAAAGGCAUUGGCUCAACCUAUGUACGCUUUGGAAACUGGAGAACUUGAGUGCAGAAGGGGAGAGUGGAAUUCCAUGUGUAGCGAUGAAAUGCGUAGAUAUAUGGAGGAAC
Molecule: ribosomal RNA, 677 nt
Filed under: uncultured Streptococcaceae bacterium
Lineage: Bacteria; Bacillati; Bacillota; Bacilli; Lactobacillales; Streptococcaceae
Description: bacterial SSU rRNA
Rfam family: Bacterial small subunit ribosomal RNA
Source: RNAcentral